RNAcentral lists this small nuclear RNA (335 nucleotides) under Mustela putorius furo (domestic ferret). Its description in RNAcentral is "7SK RNA (ENSMPUG00000021602.1)". It matches the Rfam family "7SK RNA". From Rfam's summary of the family: 7SK was discovered as an abundant small nuclear RNA in the mid-70s but a possible function has only recently been suggested. Lineage: Eukaryota; Metazoa; Chordata; Mammalia; Carnivora; Mustelidae. The record is from Rfam by way of RNAcentral.
AGAUGUGAGGACGAUCUGGCUGUGACAUCUGUCACCCCAUUGAUCGCCAGGGUUGAUUCAGCUGAUCUGGCAGGCUAGGCAGGUGUACCCUUCCUCCUUCCUCUUGCUAUGUGUGUCCCUCCCGAAGCUGUGCACUUAGUCAAAGAGGACGACCUUCCUGGAUAGAAGAGAGGACCGUUCUUUGGUCAAGGGUAUACGAGUAGCUGUGCUCCCCUGCUAGAACCUUCAAACAAGCUCUCAGGUCCAUUUGUAGGAGAAUGGAGGGUACUCAAGCUUCCAGGACUCCAGACACAUCCAAAUGAGGUGCUGCAUGUGGCAGUCUGUCUUUAAAAUUU